GAUGAACGCUGGCGGCGUGCCUAAUACAUGCAAGUCGAGCGAACAGAUGAGGAGCUUGCUCCUCUGACGUUAGCGGCGGACGGGUGAGUAACACGUGGAUAACCCACCUAUAAGACUGGGAUAACUUCGGGAAACCGGAGCUAAUACCGGAUAAUAUAUUGAACCGCAUGGUUCAAUAGUGAAAGACGGUUGUGCUGUCACUUAUAGAUGGAUCCGGGCCGCAUGAGCUAGUUGGUAAGGUAACGGCUUACCAAGGCAACGAUGCGUAGCCGACCUGAGAGGGUGAUCGGCCACACUGGAACUGAGACACGGUCCAGGCUCCUACGGGAGGCAGCAGUAGGGAAUCUUCCGCAGUGGGCGAAAGCCUGACGGAGCAACGCCGCGUGAGUGGUGAAGGUCUUCGGAUCGUAAAACUCUGUUAUUAGGGAAGAACAAAUGUGUAAGUAACUAUGCACGUCUUGACGGUACCUGAUCAGAAAGCCACGGCUAACUACGUG
Molecule: ribosomal RNA, 497 nt
Filed under: uncultured bacterium
Lineage: Bacteria
Description: partial 16S ribosomal RNA
Rfam family: Bacterial small subunit ribosomal RNA
Source: RNAcentral